CCCUUCUCUCCGGAUUUCUUCUCUGCUCUUCUGCAACCAAGUCUGCUAUCAAAGGGCUCUCCAGAAUCUCGUCAACAGAAGGUCGAUGUAACAGCAGCCAGCCAAAGCUCUUACUCUCAACAGAGGGCAGAGAGGAAAGGACCAAAAUCUUCAGGAGGCGCCUUAGUAUUCUAGUCCAAUAGGAAAACGUUGGCUGGUUUCAGAUCCCGAUGUAGCACGGUGUGACCGCCAUCACUUCGUCUGUGACAUUCCUUCAGGGCUAGAGUCAAC
Long non-coding RNA from Artibeus jamaicensis (Jamaican fruit-eating bat), 270 nucleotides. RefSeq lists it as uncharacterized. The transcript has 3 exons. Lineage: Eukaryota; Metazoa; Chordata; Mammalia; Chiroptera; Phyllostomidae. The record is from RefSeq and is a predicted model, not a curated record.